Molecule: ribosomal RNA, 1429 nt
Filed under: uncultured organism
Description: 16S ribosomal RNA
Rfam family: Bacterial small subunit ribosomal RNA
Source: RNAcentral
GCGGCGUGCCUAACACAUGCAAGUCGAGCUUUGCGAUUUGACGGAAGUUUUCGGAUGGAAGACAAAUUGACUGAGCGGCGGACGGGUGAGUAACGCGUGGGUAACCUGCCUCAUACAGGGGGAUAACAGUUAGAAAUGACUGCUAAUACCGCAUAAGCGCACAGCAUCGCAUGGUGCAGUGUGAAAAACUCCGGUGGUAUGAGAUGGACCCGCGUCUGAUUAGCUGGUCGGUGGGGUAACGGCUCACCAAGGCGACGAUCAGUAGCCGACCUGAGAGGGUGAUCGGCCACAUUGGGACUGAGACACGGCCCAAACUCCUACGGGAGGCAGCAGUGGGGAAUAUUGCACAAUGGGGGAAACCCUGAUGCAGCAACGCCGCGUGAGUGAAGAAGUAUUUCGGUAUGUAAAGCUCUAUCAGCAGGGAAGAAAAUGACGGUACCUGACUAAGAAGCCCCGGCUAACUACGUGCCAGCAGCCGCGGUAAUACGUAGGGGGCAAGCGUUAUCCGGAUUUACUGGGUGUAAAGGGAGCGUAGACGGCGCUGCAAGUCUGAAGUGAAAGCCCGGGGCUCAGCCUCGGGACUGCUUUGGAAACUGUAAUGCUAGAGUGCUGGAGAGGUAAGUGGAAUUCCUAGUGUAGCGGUGAAAUGCGUAUAAAUUAGGAGGAACACCAUUGGCGAAGGCGGCUUACUGGACAGUAACUGACGUUGAGGCCUCGAAAGCGUGGGGAGCAAACAGGAUUAGAUACCCUGGUAGUCCACGCGUUAAACGAUGAAUGCUAGGUGUGGGGGAGCAAAGCUCUUCGGUGCCGUGGCAAACGCAAUAAGCAUUCCACUUGGGGAGUACGUUCGCAAGAAUGAAACUCAAAGGAAUUGACGGGGACCCGCACAAGCGGUGGAGCAUGUGGUUUAAUUCGAAGCAACGCGAAGAACCUUACCAAGUCUUGACAUCCUUCUGACCGGCGCGUAACGGCGCUUUCUCUUCGGAGCAGGAGUGACAGGUGGUGCAUGGUUGUCGUCAGCUCGUGUCGUGAGAUGUUGGGUUAAGUCCCGCAACGAGCGCAACCCUUAUCCUUAGUAGCCAGCAGUAAGAUGGGCACUCUAGGGAGACUGCCAGGGAUAACCUGGAGGAAGGUGGGGAUGACGUCAAAUCAUCAUGCCCCUUAUGAUUUGGGCUACACACGUGCUACAAUGGCGUAAACAAAGGGAAGCGAAGCCGCGAGGUGAAGCAAAUCCCAAAAAUAACGUCCCAGUUCGGAUUGUAGGCUGCAACUCGCCUGCAUGAAGCUGGAAUCGCUAGUAAUCGCGAAUCAGAAUGUCGCGGUGAAUACGUUCCCGGGUCUUGUACACACCGCCCGUCACACCAUGGGAGUCGAUAACGCCCGAAGUCAAAGGCCCAACCGCAAGGAGGGAGCUGCCGAAGGCGGGAUU